CUCAUGUUACAGCUCCAGCCUCCCGGUGUGAAGCCAAGACUUGUACUAAAUCAUGAAUGGAUAUUAGGCAGGUGGGGUGAAAGCCAGGGCACCUCACAGCGUGCUCCUGCUGGUGCCGCUGCUGCUCUGCUCCGUCCUCCUGCACCCACCGCAGCUCUUCCUCCUUCCCGGGGCUGCAGAUCCUGCAGAGCACCCACGGCUGCUGCCGGUGCCCCUCAGCUCAGGACAUCCGGCCCUCAGAAAGUGCAGAAAGCCCCGAAUUCCUCAUUUUCUUCACGCAAUGAGAAGGGCUUCAGGACUCGGAUUACCCCCAUGAAAUCUCUCCCUGUCCCAAAGCACGUCCUGCGCGCUGGCUGAGGCAGGAGAAGUGUUCCAGUCUCUAUCGAAACCUGCGACUUCCACCACCCCUUUGGUGGCUGGGAAUGGCGCCCAGACAUGAAAUAACGAACUGAAACCCCUCCACGCGUUGACCAAAGAAAACAAGCUGUCAAACAGAAAUAUCCCCUCGCUCCUUUCCGAGGCGGACCCAAUCUCGUUCCCAUCUGCAGGCUGUGCGGCGCUGGGAAGGCAGCAUGAGGAACUCAGCAUGAAAUCGUCAGCGACGGCGUGCGGUGCUGUUUGUGCAGCAUAAAUCAGUCUGGGGAAUGAAGAGCCCCAUCUUCUUUCUCGCAGAAUUAAAAAAGAGGGGCAUCAAUACUAUGGAUAUUUCAAGUCUCCAGAGAGCUCUGCUUCGAAGGAAAGAGACAGCAGAGCGCCUGCAGCAGAACCAAAGCUUCAGCUCACUGAAUUCUCUGCUUUUUCCUCCCACUUCUACAAAACCACCCUUCAGACCACCAUUGCUCCAGCCAUGGAAGCAAUGUAGUGAAGGCCCAUGAGUCCACGUGGGAGCUCAGGCAGGGAGGAGGAGGAGGAGACCCAAGUGGCUGCUUUCUCAGUGCUGAGGAUGAUGUGCCCUGCUGCCAUGUGCCAACACCUGCACUGGGCUCCUCCGUCUCCCAUGGGGGUCUCAGCACUGUGAAUCACCACAGCCAUCCCUGCACCACAUCCUCCAGACAGAGCCACGCUGCAGCUCAGGGCAUUCCAUGAAGAAAUUGCUUUCUCAUGACUAAAUGUCAGCAUAGAGAAUGAAUGAAGAAAGACCACAAAUUUACUUAAAAUCUGCAACCGACUCCUCAGCGCAGAGGAAAGACUGGCAUCAGUGUCAUGUCCUGAAGCAGUGUCAUGUCCUGAAGCAGAUGCAGGAAGAACAAUUACUUGUGUUCACAGUAUCCUUAAGGUUGGAAAAGACCACCAGCAUCAUCUAACCCAACCGUGUAGGGGCAGUCUGCUCAGACACAUCUCUUGUCUAAGAGCUUCCAACUUACUGCAGUUUCCUUAUCCUCGUGCCUAAGGGACAGCACCAGGGACACCAAGGCACACAGUCCUUGUAGGCAUGGCUGGCUGCCAGCCACCCUUGUUCUCUGGUUAAUAGAGGAGCACAUGGAACCGUUGUAGGUAACAUGACCACUGCACAAUCCCGUCAUAGCCAGAAAUGUUUCAGCUGCAUCACUGCUAUAUAUUUUCUUUCCUGCAGCAUCUUAUUUGCCCUUGGUUGUAAGAGGACUGAGCUGAUGUUAGCAUUGUUUUCAAUUCUUCAGCAAAAAUAUUGGUGUUUUUCUUAAGAAAAAGGCAUGAGUGGACGAUGUAGUUUUGACUGAUCUGAUAAUAAGUAUAGGAGAAAGCACUCGGUGUGGUUGCAUUGCCCUUUUGUCCUGGGCUGCAGAUGGUCAGUGAAGCUGUGCUCACCCCUCCCAGGUGCUAACACUCAGCCUCUGCUGGGCAGAUGAAGCACAGCUGGGUAAUGAGCAGGUCCUGAUGGGCAGUGUUUGUUGGCCUGUGAACCUACCUUGCCUAUUUAGGGACCUGACCCAAACCUGGGAGCUCAGAAACGUGGUGCUCUCAGCUGUAGCCAUUCCUCUUCUUUAAAUUCAGUAGGCGUGCCUUUGCCACCAGCAGCAUCCUUGGAUUCCAGGCACCAUUCACAUCCUGCUGUUUGGGAAAUGGUCAUUGCCACCAGUCUGGGAAGAAUGUAUUUCUGCCCUUCUGAUAACCCACCAGAGGUCCCCUGAGGGCUGGGAUUCACGUUGCUUUCUGCCCUGAGGCUGUAAGAAACAGCAGUUUGGUGAUUUCCUUGGCUCUGUGUUGCUUGCCACUGGACCAGCUGGCACUGGAUGAAAGAGAGUGGCUGCACAUCUUCCUGCUCCUGGUGGUUGGGACUGUUAAAAGUCAGCCCUGUGCCACGGGUUGCCCCAGCUCUUCAGGUGAUAACCUGCUUCAGCAGCAGCUGUGCACAGAAUUUAUUGGGCUGCAGCUGGGAAUCUUUCUCUUUGAUCCAUCUCUGCUAUUAAACAGCUUGUGAUAACGCCACUGAGCUCACAUCGAGGAGGGGAAGCCGAGCAACCUCAAUAUUGGAGCUGAGCAGCAGUGGGGUGCCCAUCUUAAAGCUGCAUCACCUCACUGUCUUCAAAAGCAAAGGAGCUCCUUUUAUAGCAGCGAGCUGCUCUCCAGGAAUGAUUAAAGUCUCGUAAACGAGCACCUUCCUCAUCACAGAGCUGUCUGCUGACGGGGUGCCAAGUACAACAAGCCCAAUCCAAAGCAUCAUCCCCUCCAUGGGGCUAAUUGUUGUUGCCUUGUCUCUUGAACAAGAAGAGUGGUAAGGGAAAGCAGAGCCUGGAGACACACGCACAUCCCUGUACAGAAAUAACCCCUGAAAUAGAACUGACAAGCAAUUGAGGAGUCGGCCUGUGGGCUGCAGACAAAGCACAGAGCAAAGGAGAUAACCGGCAGUGAGCACUGGGAAAUAAUGCCCUAAAUUCCCUCUGAGCCCAUUCAUCACCGUGGCUUCGGCGAUCAUCUCAGCAACAAAUUCCCCUAUCAUCCAGCUGGAAUUCGAUGUUAAUGACCUGUCUGUUAUUUCAGGGGGAGAUGGACUGGAACCGGUGGGUAAUUGGUAGGAAAAAUCGCCGGGUACAGCAAAGAGCUGAUGCUACUGGAGUCGUUACACCACGAGAGAGGGAGAUUAGGGAGCUCUGCUUACCACAAGGGGCUUAUUCAUCCUGAAUAAAUGCAUUAGCUGCCCAGAGCUGUCCUCUUAUGCCCUUGUUCCUGUCUGGUGGCAUCUCCCCACCACAGCUUUUCCCAGCAAACAGCAGAGAUGCAGCCCAGAAGAAGCUGCUAGAAUCAUAGAACACCCAGAGCUGGAAGGGACCCAUAAGGAUCAUCGAGUCCAACUGCUGCUGUUGAGACAAUCACAGUAAGGAAUAACCUGCUCUCUCCAAGCUCACACUGAUGUAUACGUUUAUUCUGGAGUUCUCUCAGGAAAGACCAUAAUUACUCUAAUUUCUUAAUUACCGAAAUUAUUCAGAAUGACUCUGCAAACACCUCUGCCCUGUAACGUUUUGCACGAGCAGCCUCCCAGAUUGCAGCAGCGUUAGGCUUUGGGUUCCUUCCUCUGCUGGAAGGAUUUGCUGCGUUCAUUGCCAUUUCUCCUUGCCAUCACGUUAGCGGGGCAGCCUGCAGCCCUCACCAAAAAUAGGAUAACUGGAGAGCAUCAGGGGAGAGCUAGAAGCAAGUCCAGAGGUAAAGCCUUGGCUCUGUUGCAAAGGAUAGCUUUGCUGGGACUUGAUGUCUGUGCUUUUUCUCAACAGUUUCCCAUUCCCAUCUUGCUAACGGGACCAGCACCAGUCAUGUUUCGGUGAGCACACCUGCUUUAUAAAUUAGCUCCCAGGAGUAUUUGCAAAAACAGAGCUGAACUGCAUGGCCACGGGACUGGGUUUGCUGCAGAAAUACCAGCACGUAUUCAUAAUAAAGCAGCUGCACGCUUUGCCCAGCUCUGUCUGUAACUUCUCGUCAUGUCCUGUACCUUUCUGGGCAGAAAGAAUGGGUGGUAGUGGUGGGAAAAUUGCAAAAUCCUCCUUGGCUAGAUGAAGCAAUUAUUUUUGAUGCAGAUGGGGCUGCUUUUAACCCUACGUAUUCCAAACAUCUCUGUAUAACCCUAUGGGUUCUCCACCGUUGUAGGCAGUGAUGGAGAAGGAAAAAAAUGGGUGAGUAGGAUUUAACACCCAGCCAGAACUGAACUGUACAACACCCGACUGCAGAAGGGUUGGUUCUAUGCCCUUUAUGCACAGUAGGCACCGCUGCUGCCUGUCCCCAGCAUGGCACGAGUUGGGGACCAUGAGUGGUGAGGACCUCUUGUGGUGCCUCUCCCUGAGCUGCAGGCACAAAGGUUGGAUUUCUUCCCUAUGGCUGCGUGAAGAGCUGCUGACUGCUCCACCAGGAACUGAGGCAAUAAUCCCAGCUUGUUGUUCUCCUUCUCAUGGGAGACUUCUUGUGCAAAAGAAGCAUCAGUAGAAUGAAUCAAACGCUGCGGUAGUGGCCCCAUUCCCACGUGCUCUGUGUGCUCUUCCUCUCGACUCACCGGUGAGGAGGCGGUAUCAUGGGGAGGCUGUUCUGAAAAUGCUUUUAAUUGAUUUAAUUCAUAGCUGUGUUGGAGCAGGAAGGUGUUCCUUCCUUGUGCCCGGGAAUGGCAGAAUGUCCUCCAGCUGCCCCCAGAGAUGCAGCGCUGUGCCUGGGUAGCACUGUCUUGCUGCUGGCCAUCCAUGCCAAGCCUGGGAAUGAAAGCUUUGGCAACAGCCUGGACCAAGCUCUGGUAUCUUCCUUAUCGAGAAGCAUGCUGAUUACUGCAGACAAAUUGGAGAUGAACUUGCCUCUAGAGCCCAACGUGUUUGUGAAAUGAAUUGCAGUUACAUGGGGAUUUAUUAUUUCUGCAAAAGAGGCUUUCUUAUCAUGAUUUUUCCUUCCAUCUUGGACUCAUCGCUACCAGACCAGGAACCUUCAAACAGAUGUGUUUGGAGCCUUGAUGUGGGCUCACAGUGGCUGGGAAUCUUCUUGUUAUUCCUACGAAAAACAGACUCCAGCUGGAGGGGAAGAAGAGCCUCCAGCAUUAGAGAUGACCUAAACAGCACAUGUUGCAAAUGAGAUGGGAAGUGGAGAACUGCUUGAAACAUCUCUGGCCCUUUCAGCAGAACUGUUUUCCCUUUGCCUUCUCAAGGCUGAGCUGCAGACAUUGCAAGAAUGACCCCAGCAGACUGCUGCUGUUUCUGUUUUGCAUGUUCACAAGGCAGCUUCUGAAAUAAGUUUGCACACUGUUGAUCUUGCACUGGACAGCCUCACAUCAGGUGGCAGGGAAGCCCUUGCUCAUGCUGCCCUGACCCUGCUGCUCUUACUUCCCAUGCUGAUGCAUCAGUGCAUGAUGUGGCUGGAAAUGAGGUGGUGCAGGGUGGUCUCCUUGGGUUUUGCAGCUGAAAUAGGUUACUGAGCUCCUGAAGGCAUCCACCAGGAUUGCUAUGGCCUGGAACAGCCCUAGGAAAGAUGCUCUGCUUCAAGCUGGGGUUGUGCUGGUGGUGGGAGCUGGGGAUUUCAAAUCUUCCUACAGUUGGAUAUUUCAACCAAUGGCAUAAAUAAUGGAAAGCCUUCCAAAAGAAUGCCAUCCUAAGGGCUGUUCCCCUAAGAAGAAAUGCAGGUCAGGAAAUACAUUGGCCAUAUGAGUUUGUGAGUCCUUUCAAUUGUGAACAGUGCACUAAUCAAGGUUUGGCUAAUGGGUAUGCUGGGAUAUGCACACAGAUAUGCUCUUCUUUUGAGUCUUUCUCUUUACCUUUCAACCCCUGAAAUCAUCCAAGCUGCUAACACUCUGAGGAGGAUGAUGCAGCAAAAAUAAUAGGUUUAGCAAGAAGCAGAAAAAUGAGAUUAGCAUCUGUUUUUCUGGGAAAAAUAUCAACUUUUCCUGCUUAGAAAAUGAAUGGGUUGGAAACCAGCUUGUAAAACUCGAAGCCUGACUCAGGCACUGAUUUGUCACGGGGCUGUCACCUGCAGUCACUGUUAGAGAGGAGCCCUCAAUGUUCUGUCCAAAAGGAACGAUUGCUGUCUGAGUUAUUGAUGGAUUCGUAUGUGGGGAAGAGCAAAUCCUGGUCAAGCUGGAGGACUUUUGCACACAUUCAGCAGCGAGUGAGUAAAGUUAGUGGAAUACAGAACCAUCCCUGCUCGCUGCAGAGCAGCCCCCAAGGAGCACAGUGAUAAAUGAAUUGCAGAAAGCUUGGAGCUUCAACUCGGCCAGGGGAAAUAACGCUGUGUCUAUCUGAUCUCUGCAAACCUGGCUUUCCACUUAUGUGCCUGAUGAUAAAUCAGCAGUAAAUGUGCUUAGGUUGGCACGCCAAGUUUUUCCCUGGAUGCUGUUCUGUAGGCACGCACUUUCUUCACCACAAGAGUCCAGAUCUGGUGCAGAAACCACAAGCGUGGUACAGGCAGGCGGCAUCCCAUCCCAACACCGUUGCAUUGCCCUUGGCCUGCCAGCCAGAGCCAGCCCAGCACAGCCAUGAGAGAAGGAUGGCAGGCGCUCCAGGAGGACCUCUUCAAACUGCAGAGAAGGGCUGGAAGUAAAGCUGAAGUUGCGUGGCAGGAUGCAGGAGGCGGAGCAGUGCAUUGAGUUGCAUGACGCCAGGCAGCAGGAGGUGUGGGCUGCCCACUACCUGUUCCUGGACAGCAUGGCCAGGAGAUGGAGAUAAUCCCUCUCACCUCAUAGUGCACUGCUCUUCCACAUCAUUCCCCUGCUCCUACUCAUACCUCCUCAUGCCAUCCAACAUAUUUCGUCCCAAUCCUUUGCCUUCACACCCUUGAAACCCUUCCAGGCUGCUAUAGUGUCCCUUUCUCCAACUCACCUCUCCAAACCAAGCCAUACCCCCAGGCUCCAGUCCCAUCCCAUAAAUCAGUCUCUCCAAGGCCCUGACCGUAUUCUGAGAUUUCCAGGGGCUGUGCGGCUCCUCCUGGGCUCACAUCUCUUCUCCCUGCAACAAUAAAAGGCUGGAGACACGCAGCGGGGUGAGGCUCGGGUUUCUGGGCUCGUUUUAUAACUGGUGCUGGGGAUGCUUUGCGCGGAGCCCUCCAUGCGGUGAGGAAGCGGGGCAGGACAUGUCGAGCAGAUGGCAAUUCUGGACUGCAGAUGAGGGCUGAGUUAUGGCGCUCGCAGCACAUCUUUGAUACACGUCCAGCUUUUAUCAGAUGGUUCCACUCAGUGUUUGGCACAGCUGAUGUGAAGGGAAGGCCGAGGAGCAGACCUGCAGUGGGAGCAGCCCCCCAUCCCUAGGGCUGUCCCCCUCUGUGCGCUGAGCUGGGACUUCCCCUGCUUCUCCCACUCCUCCGGUACUGACACAGCUUUAUCCUGCAUACAAAACUGCUGAUAUGCUUAAAGCUCCCCUAGGCUGCACAGGCUCUUCUCCCUUUGCCACAUCAGCGCGUGUUGCAAGCAGCUGGGAGGAUGGAGAGCAUGUGAGCAUUUCUUGGAGCUAGAAGGCUCCGCUCCUCGGGUUUUGGCUUCAGAUGACCCACUCUUCUAAUACACUCUGCACUUAAUUCACUCUUGCCAGUGCAAAUGCUCUUAUUUAUGAGGUUGGUAAUCACUUUCUAUCAACACGCUCUGGAAGUCUGCUUCACCCACAGAACAUUCCUUCAAUAAAUCCUCCCCAUGAAUAUUCCCAGCCCAAGCUGAGCCCAACGCCUACUUGUGGUGUAGGAGAUGCUUUCAAAGGACUCUCACUGAGUUGGGUUGGCUUAAAGCACACCUCAAGCCUUGAUGCAAGUGGACCCAGGUAAGCUCACAAGAAGGAAACCCAAGCCUUUCCCAAACUCCUUGGAAACACUGAGUUUGGUGUCUUCUUCCUCCUUAACUUAAAAGCCAAGAAAUGUCUGUGCAGGAGAAUCAAUCACAUCACAAAGGAACCUUCUGGAUCCCAUGAAUGCCCAUUCUUUAAGCCUUAGAAUUUUACCCAUCCCCCUUUCAGGAGGGAAUGCAGAUAUGUUUUCCAUUGGAAAUAUCCCCAGGGUCUCAUGCCUCAUGCUGAGCAGCAAUCCCUGUGUCAAUUAAAAUGUGUUAUUCUGUUGAGCUCACCCUUGGGUCGAGCCAUAGGGCAGCAGAGGUCCAUGCCAGGACAGCGCCAAUGAACACAGAAUGGAGCAUCUUUAGCUCAGAGCUUUCUGCUCUGUAUCUUUCAGCUCCUUCAUGGACCAACCAGAGCCCAUAUUGAUGCCAUUUACUCAGCUGUCAAGUGGGUUUUUUAUCCUAAUGCUCCACGGUGGGGAAAUAGGAACCUGCAAUGAACUUGCUUCAAAUCGAGACAUAUUUAACUCGAAUAAACCAGCGGCCGGGCUGAAUAAACACUGCAGGCACUUCAGAAAGGAUGUUAAGUUGACAUAAGAUCUGUUGGGUGAGUUCAAGAAAUGGGAGAUUUGAUGCUGAAGUCAUAAAUCUGCUGGGUUAAAAGGGGGAUACUGCUGAGCUCUGCAUCUCAGUGAGAGACAAAGGCAGGAUGUUUGCUGUCCCAGUCUGUGGGCAGCAGGUUUCUGUCCUAUGGCAGCUGCUGAGGAGUGUGGGCUUCAUCUCCACCGCUCUCUUCAAAGCCGAGCAGGUUUUGCUGACAAAAGCUGGCACACGGACAUCAUGAAGAGCAAUGAAGAGCAGGGCUGCUGUGCCAGUGUUGCUGGUUCCAGCUGGGACAGCCCCAUGAGUUGCUGGGAGCUGAGGCAGCACUGAGCCCCUUGGCUCUCCGGAGGCACUGUGGCAGGGAAACAGCUCUCUGUGUCCUUUUCCAAAGCACAAGGAUAUGGGUGCAGCUGCAGAAACACGUAUUGCCCUCAGACUGUACUCUGCAUGGAGCACCCGCUGGUACCCCAUCUCUGAAGGCACACUUGGGAGCCUGAAACUGCAUUUGGCCCCAAUCUGAGUAGAGCAAAAUCGUGUGCAGUACUGAAGUCCCAUUUAAUUUCUUAGAGUUGUUGCAAUGCUCCUAGGGUUGGCACAACUCAGGCUGAGUGGAAAGGAAGGUAUGGAUGUGGCUACGGUUUCUGCCUCCAGCUCCAGCUCUCAGGUCUUGAGGAAGAAGGUUAUGCUUCCUCUGUCCAGUGUGAUGCAUCUGGGGCUGCUCUGAGCAGAACACGCGCCACGUCCCUGUGUGUUCGCUGCCGGAGGGACUCAGUGGGUCAAGGGGUGAGAGCUUACCCCAGCCUGAGCUGAAGGAUCGCAGAUGUUUCAUAUUUCUGCUCCAAAGAGAGGGAGAGAGAAGCUGCAGAGAAGACUGCAAUAUUUUUUUUCAAUACAUUCCAUAUGUUUCCUCCAUAAGUCAUGAUUAAAAAGUGGUGCUGGUCCAAAUAGAAAUAAGCCUGCAGGCUUUUCUGCUGCUUUUGGAGGAAGAAGCAGACUCAGUCUGAUUCACCCCUAAGGGGAGAAGGGCUCUGAGCUGACUUGAGAACACGUUUCCAUUGGACUUGUCAUCCACGCUGUCCCUGCUCCCAGCAUUGCUGUUGUCUUGGCAAGAAGCACUUCUCAGCCCUGGCUCCAGCUUCCUGGUGGAAUACACCAAAUACUUGUCCCCAGGUGCCUGACAUCAAUGCAGGGUGCACAACCCAUUGUUACGGGACCAGAACACACAGGGACUGCAAAUGACUUAUUUCCUUGCUACCAUUUCCACUCUGCUCGCUGAGGUCCAAACACUGCAGAAAAAAAUGGCAGGUUCGGAGGGAGGAGGAAAACCCAGCACCCACGAGGGGAAGGAAUUUGCUCUCUCCAAAAGGCCACGCUUGGUAUAAUUAUGCCAGCCAAACGUGCACAGAAGCCUUCAGCAAUUCCUGUGGUAAUCGUUUCAUAUGUGUGGGAUUUUUUAGGCUGGAGCAUAAUUACGGCUAAUUGCUGUUUGAUUUUGUUCCUGUUUAUAUAGCCAGUAAGGGAGUCGUUGAAAUGUCUUUACUGAAAGACUUUCUCCCUUCCUUUUCCUUCUCUUUUUCUUAAAUCAUCCUGGAAAAGAAAAGAAGGGAUCGUGUUGCAACACGGUGAGUUGUGAAUGGCCAUCAGCUGUCCAACAUCUCACAGCAAAGAGCCACGUUCAGGACUGAUGUUUUCCCAGCACUGGGAACUGAUGGUGCGCUGAUUUGCAGAACUAACGAGGACUUGCAAAGAUCUUGGCUGUUGGUUAAUGAAACCCUCCUGGGCAGGAGGCUGAGGCUGAAUUUAUCUGGGGAGAUGGGAGGAUCUGGACUGCUUCUUGCAGUCUGUUCACUAGAGCCCACGGAGAGAGAAGUGGAGCUGGUGGGGCUCAGCACAGCUCCACCACCAGGAGCUCCUCUUGGCAUGGCCAUUGCCUUUGUCAUGCCUGGUUAUCUUUUCUCAGCCCUGGUUCUUAACAUAGUUGUCCCACAGCAUGACUCAAUGGGAAUUAGGCAUCAAGUUUGCUCUGAAUGUUGGGAGUUUCCAUGUUCAGAUGGCCUGCAGUGAAGCCAGAAGCCAGAUGAUCCCUACAUCGACCCAUCCAAACAGACCUAUAUGUCUUUGAGGCUUUACUUUUCUUUUGGAAAAUUGGCUGUAUGUUUGGGUGCUUGCGCUCACGUUGCCUUUAAACGCAUCCUACCUCACUUGAAUGCAAUGUUCCUCCAGAUGGAGGAGAGUCAGCAGCUCACGGAGGCUGUGAUAUUCUCAUUCCUGAGCACUGCAUCCUUCAGAGGGGACCGAGAACACACGAAAACUCUCUUGGCUGUGGUCAGCCCUCAGCAGCUGCCCCAGCCCCGUGCCAGACACACGCUGGAUUAGAGGGUGCAGGGUGCUGUUGCUAUGGGACAAGGUGGAGGGAGCAGGCAGGUGCCACUCGUAGCCCUCUGCUAUGGAGAAUGCAGAUCUUGUUUGCUCUGCUUUUUUUUUCUUCUUCUUUUUUUCCAUUUUAAUGCUCUUUCUAUCUGGCUUCUGCCUCUGCUCCAGGAAGCCAAAUUAGCUCAUGGUCUGAGGCUCCAGCACUGAAUAUAAGCAGAAGCAAGCUGACAUCAGCUUGAAAUAGAAGCAGUAAUAGAGCUGUUUACUGUCAUGUUUCACUUUGACGAUUCAAAGGAGCAGGAAACAAUCCCAGGGCAUUGGGCACUCACACAGCCACCAAAAGCGCAUCCCUGAACCCAACUGAAUCCAUCACAAAGGCUCGGGAGCAGCAAAGUGGGGGGAGUUUUAGUGCAAGCGUGCCCAGAACACUUUAAAAUCCAUCAGAUUCUUUGCCCAAACACCAUCUCUGUGUGCUCUGAACCAACAGAGCCAGGAAUCUGGUAAACCAAGCACUUUGGCUGUGCCUGGGCUGUAGCCACACAAGUGUAAGACAUCACCUACAUCCUUCACAUGGUGUUAAUUAACAGCUAUGUAUGGGGCUGUGCUUCUCAGCCUGACCGAAAGCUGGAAGCCCAAGUCUCGAAUUCUCCCGGCCAGGAUGCAGCAUUUGCUCAGGGAAUACCAAAGAAAGAUGGAAAAGCAGCCCCACAGCUGCCUGCUUGUGCCUUGGGCAGAGCCCUUGUGGCUGCUGGUUGUCUCUGGAAGCUGCUGCCUCCCCCUGGCACUGCACUCUGCAUGGUAUGGAGUGUAUUUUUAACUAGGAAGAUAAUGAGACAGUGGCAGCUCCUCCCUGCAAUUCUGUGUUUGGAAAAUUUCAGCCACGGUGCUUGCAGGUUAAAUAGCAGGCAGAAGGAGAAUGAGCUCUUGAUUAAAAUAUGUCUAGACAGCCUUCUGUGUUUUUAAGUCCUAAUUUAGAGGACCGAGGUAGGAAGGGAUUUACAUCAUUUCCAACAUCUGACCCGUUGUUUCUGAUGGUGGUAAGACAGCUGGCACAGCCAGCCCUCACUUUUACCUGCAGUCUCAGGACAUUCAGUGACUGCAGCCACGUGUGUGGCUAUGGAAGAACUCUUCUUUUGUGACAACAGGAAAUACUCAUUUCUAAUGGUCGCAGAGCAAGUGAGACCCAUAUGAACGAUAUUAAGUUUGGCGUUCCAAGCCAUCUCAUGACUUUGAAGGCUUAGUCUAGGCCUUGGGCACGCAUAUACUCCACUGCAAUUAUCACUGGCACUUGGCUUGAUUUGGAAAUCAAGCUCCGUAAGAGUCCUGUCACUAAAAGCUGUCUCUGAGCCUGCAGUUUCCAACCACCACCAACACAGCUCUGACAAUCAGCUCCAGUGCUUUCAGCAUUUGCACCACUCAGCCACGCAUUUGGCUCCAAGGGCUCAAAGCGACGCGAGCUCACUGUCAGACGCAGUGUGAUGGAAGGGCUCUACAGCUGUUGCCCUCACAUUUGAUAGCCAGUGUUGGCUUUGUUGGGAAAAGAGGAACUGAAACUCUUCAGACUCUACCAAAAACAAGAAGCGACAUUUGGGUGUAUUUUGAAGAAAUACAGAGAAAAGAGGUAUUGGACUGUUUGGGCACCAAAUUGCUUCUGCCAAAAUGUAUAUGUCCUGUGGCAGCAGAUUGCAGUGCCACGAGGCAGGGAGCUGCUGGGCAGGGCUGUGUGCUGGACCACGGGCAGCAGGUUUCCACAGGGCUGCUUGGAAGGGCUCUGGGGAAUCAAAGCAAGGAGAAGGAAGGGAGACACCAACCGAGUAAAGACUGACUCAGAAUGAACCCCCAGAAGGGCUCUAAGUGCAACACUGCAGGACCUUCUUGACCCUUUGCAAUUGUUGCCGUGACCAGAUGCAUUGAAAAGGUGACAGGGUAAGAAAAGUGAAGACUUUGGAUUUGAAAUGAUUUGGAUUCCGUUAACUUUAGUGCCUCCUUCUCCAGAAGGACUCCAUCCUCUGAGUGUGUAAGCAGGAUCAGGGUGAGGAUGGCACUGUGCAUCUGGAAUAGCACUUCACAGUGGUUCUGUGGGGGCGGUGGGACUUGGAAACUUAAUGAGAAACACAAGCUUGCAGAAAGGGGGUGGGAAACCGGGUUAGAGAUACAGCAGGGCGGUUUGCAUUCAGAUCGCGGGAACUGAGUAAGUUUCUGAGCUAGAGAUGUUGUCAGCUCCUUAAUGACUUCUCCAUCCAUCGCCCAUUACGUUGGGUCCGAUGCACUUAAGAUGUGAGUCACUGCUCCAACCCUCACAGGGUGACAGGACCCGGGGGAGCACAUGAGAGGUGCUCAUUCUGUGGGUGGCUGCUCUGAGCUCUGUCUGUGUCAUCACAACGGGAUCAUUCUAAACCAACAGAACCCCAGUGUGUUGCUACGGGCAGGGCAGCCCAGGCCAUUAGGCAGGGCUUUAUUUUUGGAUCUGGGUCUUGCUUUCAAGCUUUCGGCAUCCUACACUUCUUUCAGCUGGGGAUGGUCCCAUUUCCAAGAGGGGAGCUCAUUUGAGAGGCAGACAAUCUUCCCAUAGCCAUUGCCACUUGGCUGUCUGCAUACUUCAGCCCAUCACUCUCCCUGCUCCCAGUGAGCAUCUCUGUCAUCUGAAAGCUCAGAAAUCAAACUUUGAACUGAAUAAAAGCCCCUCCCCCUCCAACAUUGACUGAAAUACUCUUUAAAAACAAAUCCUUAUAUAUUCUAAACUCAAAAACAUCUGGGUUUCCAAGCCCCAGGAAAUUACAGCUCCCAUUCUGGAAAUAAAAUACAUGUUUGUCCAUAGAUUGCAUUAAUUAAACCCCAUAAUAUGGAAAGAAGCCGGUAAAAUUCUUUCCUGAUGGCUGGCAGAUUUGCAUAGCAAUUUCUCAUAUUGCUCAUUGCAAUUAUUAUUCUUAUUUAAAGGGUGACGUUUUCCUCCAUGUCAGUGCAGGAUAGGAAGAUCAAGAUCUCUCUCAGUGACCAAGGGAGAAGAACUUUUGGUCCACGUGCGUGUCUUGCAGUGGGGGAUCCCAAAUGAAGCCCCAAGUCCUGCAGCUCCUGGAAAUGCCACAUCAGAAACAUUCCUGCUACUGGGAAAAACACUUUGAAGACCGGGAAAACUGCAGACUUCAGUUGUUCUUUGUGGCUUCUGCAAUUUUUUCCUGGUGAGGUACAUUGCACGGAAAACCGUCGUGCCCGAUGUGGUCAGCAUUCUUAUUUACCAUAAGCAGAGCAGUUACACAUUGUUAAAUUAUUAUUAGCUUAGCUACCACUGGGAGGGUUGCCUCAGCCCUGCCAGCAGGGCUGAAACAAAUACCCACUGUUGCACACAGUCAACCAGCAAUGAGUUGCAUGGAUGCCCAGAACAUGUCUUGCUGCACGGCUGUCCCCCCAGGCAGCAGCCCUUGAGGAACACAGGCUGAGCUGGGAUCUCUUGCAAUGGGAUGGGUUGAACGUGUGGAUGCUUUGGAGCUGAAUCUGAAUGUUCUCAGUGUGAGCCUUCGUUCACCCGUUGUGUCAGCCCAUCCAAAGCUGAAGAAUUCACUGCCAAAGGAAAUCUGGAGCUAAAUUCUCAAUUCCAAGCUCUGACGCUGGCAAUAUUUGCACCAAGAAACCUGACAAAAUUCAGGAAGUUUUUUAUGGCCGAUUCUUUCUGCCUGGAUAGAGCUCAUGCCAACAACAAUAUCAGCUCUGUGAAAGAAUUUUAUGGUGUUUUGCUGUGCCUGUGCCAUGGGAAAAAGGGGCAAGGAUGGAUUUUACGGGGUGUUUGUAGAAGGACGAAGAACAUCAUCCUCACCCAAAGGGCAGCCAUCAAAGCAAAGCUGUGGCAGCAGGCAGUUCUGCUCAGCCUGAACGUGCAGGGAGCAUCCCAUGGCUGGGAGGUGACUGCAGCCUCCACAGCACUGCUGUAGGCAGACAGCUGAGACGUGGCAUUCUGCACAAACCGGUGGCUGACUCCAGGCUGGGCUGCAUCCCCCAUCCCAGCACCUCAACACUGACCCCCCCAGGAUUGCUCAGCAAUUAACUGUGCGCUCCACGGGUGAAAUGCGUGAAGUCUUGUGACAGCCACCUCGUCCCACAAGGCAGGGGGUGCUGAGAAAGACAAAACAACCCGCUCCCUCUCCUCUCUCAUUAAAGCAAAUGUCAUCGGCUGUGAUCAGCCUCUGUGUACAUGCACACAGCCAGCAGGAGAAAAUCAAACAUCAAAAGGGAAAGAAAAGAAAAAGAGACCCGAACAGGAUAUUGACAUCAUUGGGAGCUCUGCGAAUGGAGAUGAAAUGUAAAAUGAAGUUGCAAUCUGGCUGAUAGAAGUUGAGGACACGUUAACCCUUGGGCAGACCCGCUGCUUGCAGGGGUGGGAGGAGAGCUGCUUCCAUGGGCACCUGGGCUGCGAUUUGCUCUGGAAUGUGGGAGGAAUCUGACACCCAAAUUGCUUGGGAAGUUGGACACGUCCUGCCAUGGGCUGCUCGGGAAUUGCCAGUUCUCAUUAAUCUCUGCUGUGGAUCUGACAAGUCAGCUGGAGGGAAAUGGUUCAUUUCAUUUUCUUCUCAUCGAGAUUUUCCCACCGCUCUUUCCCUCCCCGUCUGUCCCACUGAUGAGGCAAGAAAAGGAUGACAAAGCAGAAAGCGAGGGAAGAUGCAGGGUGAACGUUUCCGCCGGGAUGUUUAAUGAUGAGAAAGGAAAGAAAGCACCAAAAGAAGUUCCUGACGGAAAAUUCCUCGCAGCUUUCAUGUCACAGCCCCUGACCUUCAGCUGCCCAUAAACGCCCUGCAGCCACCCCCAGCACGUUCCCAGCAGCCCGGUGGGGCUCUGCAUUGAGCCACCCUUCCACCAGCAAAGCUCAGACUGGGAAUUCAAACCCCAAAUCCGGCUGUGGGGUGCCAGCAGCCAAACACAGCCUGGUUCAGCACCCCGUGCUCUGGUACCCCAAGGGGCCAUCAUUCACCACCACAUGUGAUGUGUGGUGUGGGCACACACCUUCAGAAACCCUCAAAACCAAAUAAGAUAUCACUGUCGAUAGGAGUUCUGUGAAUAGAGAUGAGGUAUAAAAUCGAAACAAGUAUUUCCUUAUGGUCUUUUUUGUUUAUUUACUUGGGGAAAUAACCAUGCACGGAGCUGGCAUUAAGGACUGGCUUUUCAGGCACAUUUUUAGCUAACAGAAUAAAGGGAUUUAUUUCUGCAGUGAAGAAACAGAGGAAUAACUUGUAAAGGCACUGUAAUUCCAUCCAUUUGGAGCUGACUGUAGCUCUGAAGCAGCCGCAGAUAACUUAAGAUGUUGCAAGUUCAGAAGGGAUUUUUAUCUCUCUGUUUGGAGAAGCAUCGCCUUGACUUCAUCGGCACAAUCUCAGUGUGAGGCUGUAGUUUAAAUAACAGGAAGGAAGAGCGGCUGCCCCGGGUCCAAGUUUGCCCCAGGAUUUGGGAUAAAGGCCGGGCUGCCAAGCAGGGGGUCCCAAACCCCAUAGCAGCCCCAUCCCACGUGCUCUGGGGCUAUGGAGGGAUGCGGGGGACGGUUGGAUCAGAACAUCGCUGCCAUCCAGGGGAUCUGGGCAUGAAGUGUACAGGGAAGCCCUGAUGGAAGAAAACAGAGCAAUGCCAUGCUGAGCUUCCCAGAGCAGAGCAGGGUGAGCAGGUCCUGGCCCUGUGCUGCAGCCCCACUCAGACCAGUCUAUGUCUCGGUCGCUGUCUGCUCCCUGUGCCAGCUGUUAACCAGCACCACUUGCUCGGCCUGAGCUGACCCAGCCAAUACCUGGAAUUAAUGAAACAAAAAGGCCAUGAAGCAAGGAGCUGUUGUUACCUAAUGUGUCUCAUCCCCUGAGCAACGUGUCCAUCAGCACGGUGCUGCGCAUCAGGAGGGGAAGGCGAUUUGGGUGCCUCGCUGUGUGCUCAGCAGCUCGGAUCCCCUCUGCUGCUUCACCUUUCUAACCUGCAUCUCUUCUGCUGUUUUUAUAGAAACAGCCUCAAUUAUUCCCACCCUGUUCUAGCAGGCCUAGGGCCAAGCUGCUUAGCUGCAGGUUUUCCUGCUCGUGAACAGCAAGCAACACCUAUCCACGCAAUGCAGAAGAAGCAUCCCAGUGGGUUUGCAUUUGCACUUUGCUAAAGACAGUGCUUUUGGGGCUGAAUUUCACCCAGGAGAGGCAGCAGGAGACUCUGCAGUGCUCAGCACCGGGCAGGAUCGGGGCUGCACAUCACUCUGCCACUCAGCCCUGGGAUCCCAUCUGUGGGAUAGCAUAGGGCCGGUGACACGGGACUUAUGGAGCUGUGUGUUUCAACAUACAUUUUCCAAAAGCUAUUUCAUACGUUCCAUCACGCCGAGUAAUGCGCUGGAAACCAUCCAGGCUUGGGGAUGUUUCUGUAAACGCAUCAUCUCUGCCCUUCCACUGCUUUUGCUGUGAGCAGAGGGGACCCGGUGCUCCCCCCUCCUGCUGUGGGAGCUGGGGAUGCUGCGAGGACCUCUCUGCUCCUUUGCAGUGCAGCCCUUCGUUUUCACUCUGCUUUCACAGCAGCGUUUCAUAUGGUCUGUGUCUUGAUUUCCUAGAAGCAUCCCUGCACUUCUCUGGCUAUGAAAACACCCCCACGAUGUCCUGCACGUACAGACUCAUAUAUGCAGCACACACACCCACUAGAUGGCUGUUUUCUAGCUCUUUAUUUGAUUGAAUUGUUACCAGAGGGAGGUGACAUUUUCUCACAAAGCUUUUUCUACUGCAAAAUUCAGGCUUAAAGACACCAGACUGCUCAUAAAGUGUGUAUCAAACCCGCCUAUUUCAUCAGGUAGAGAAAGCAAAACAUUAGGAGAUAUUCUGGAAUAGCUGGAGAUACACCUAUAGAACCAGCAAAUGGAUAUAUGGGAUGGGUUGAAAAUGCCAGAACUGUUAGGUUGGGAUCUGUUUCUAAAGAAGAAAAAAGAGAGUAAAUCUUGGAAUGAAACCUGGAUGCUUUGUUCAAAGCCAGGCAGAUGUGUUCCAUCUGGGUAGGAGGAGGUAUUCAAAACAAGGCCUGAUUGUUUUCCAGCAGUUUCUAAAUUGCCAAAAAAAGCCAAAUCAGCAUUGGUUCUUACAGUCUGAUAUUCAAAUCCACCCUUAUUGUGCCUAAAACACAAAGUGGCCAUUGCUUGGCACUGGAGGGGCAUGCAGAGAUGUUUUAUAUAGUACAGCGAGCACAGAAUGGCACAUUGCCCUUCAGGGUCUGUUUCAUUAGAGCCAGAAGGAAAGGACAGUAAGUGAGGGUCGUGUUCCUAUUUGAAUCUAACAUUCCACCAAUGUCUUUGAUUGCAUCCAAGCAGAGGUGGGCAUUCUGCUGCGUUUUACUCUCCUGCUGUAAACAUGAAAUAUUACUUUUAAUAGAUCUUUUCCCCUCAGAAAAAGAGGCUGAACACGUGUAAUUAGAGCAACAGGCACGUGUCUGCGUUCAGGGAGACAUCCCCAUAAAGGCAGUUGGCAUUUGAGCAGUCUCGAGUUAAAUCUGAAGGCUGGAUCUAUCCAUCUCCUAUUUUAUCAUGAAUGCUAAUUGGAGUCUGAGGGCCCUUUGAUGGAAGCAACACGGCAAACACAGCGUGUACCACUUCCUCCAAUUUCCAGAAAGCAAUAGGCACGUGAAGUGGACGUUGGGUUUAAUUUAUACUGUGAGAAUCCCUCGCUGCACAAUGCCUCCGUUUCCAGAUAUUAUUAACAGAGCCGGAGCGUCCUUCCAUGUGUGCUGGUGGAAAGGAACGAUAAAUCAAGCAUGCUUCUGGGACGAUUGCAAAACCUCCGUGCAACUUGACUCACAGUCUAAAAAUGUGCUUGUGGAAUGGUUGUGGUUGCAUCACGUAGGUGCUGCAAAGCAAACACCGAUUUGGAGAACCUCCUCUCCCCAUCCUCACUUCCUUGCAGCACGUGGCCAUACGUUUUCUGCCCUCUCCAGGAGCUGCUGGAUACUGAAAGAGCAUCCCUGGGAUCGAUGGUCCUCUCCUUUCUGCUACCACAGCAGCAAGAAGGGAACUCGAACUGGGAUCAAAGAGGUUUGGUUCGGCUCCUGAGAAGAGAAUGAAGAAGGGAAGGGACAGGAGGAGCACAUCUGGAGGCUGGUGCAUGGCUGCGUGGCCUUCCCCUCCAGCGAGCAGCGUUUGGAGAGGAAAUUGCCUUGUGGAUAGCUGAUAUGGGUGUUUGCUCAGGGGGAGCGGUGCGCCCGGGCAGGGAAAGGAAAUUCCUGGAUGCCAAGUCAAAUAUAGGGAAAAGAAAGCAGAUUCUGCAAGAAUAACUAUAUGCUGGAGAGAGAAGUUGAGCAGCCAGUCGGUGGCCGGGCACUGGGUUUGGGCAUGUGGGUGAUGGUCCAAGGGUUGGCAUGCAGCACAUCCCAGUACACCAAUAUCCCAGAAUCCCCACAUCCCCAAUAACCCAACAUCCCAGCACCCCAACAUCCCAGCAUCCCAAUAUGCCAGCACUGCAGCAUUCCAGAGUCCCACUGCAGCCCUUGGGCUCCGCUCGCUGCCCAGCACUGCACUCGGGAACGCAGGCAUGGCCAUUCCAUGUGGCUGGCUCCAUUCUUUUCUGGUUUUUUCCAUUUUAGGAGCUAUCCUGCACCAGCUUCUUUAUCAGUAGUAAAGAAGAAAAAGAAAGGAAAAAGGCACAAAGUAAAAAAAAGCAAAGCAAAACAUAACCACAGCGUUUUCCGUGACCCUUCUCUGGCCUCUGCUUACACAAAAAAAUCCUGGCAUCCAUAAUGAUCAGGCCUUUGAUUGAACGACAUUUUAAUUCGGGAUAUAUUAAAACAGCAUGUUUUCAAAUGAGCGGUCCCAGAGCAGAAGGGGAAGAGCAGGCUCCCCAGAACCUCUCCAGCUUCAGAGUCACAAGCUGUGCCCCAGAUGCCAUCACGGCAGCUUUGAUAGGCAGGCCCCUUGAUUUAAAAUAGGGCAGGGGGGGGGGUUGGCUAAUUGAAACCAUUGUGUUAUGAUAACCAAAUGUCUUCUGCCUUUUGCAUCUCCCAUAGAUGGCAAUGCAUAUUGAAAAAGACAUAAUAAUGCCACGUCCGUUUUCAGGGAGAGAUCAAAGGCUCUCCUGGAAAGAGGAGCCCAGUUGUCCCCCCCAAUGCAUCUGGGCUGCAGACAGCCAGUGGUAAAGGCGACUUCAUUCAUCCGCGGGGCAGAGGAAUGCUGUCUGGGUGCUUUGAAAAGUGCAAGGGCUGGUGGAGGGAGGAAAAAGCUCUGUGUAUGGGAACAGGGUGGAUUUAUGGCCCUCAUGCUGCAAUGGGGUCCUGUGGCUUCACUGUGCAUUUUGGCACAGCUGGCGCUGCAUUACCCAGGAGGCUGAGAGUGGGCUGCAAUGGGAGCAGCAAUCACCCAAAGCAGAGUCAGUGGCACAGAACGACCAAACCCAGGGUGAGCAGCAUCCUUAGUUGCUGCCUGCAGAACGGUAGCCCCGAGCUUCCAAUACGCUCCAUGAAAGCAUCCUCAUGGGGGUUCAUUCUAUCACCCCGUCCACGGUUUCUGGGCAGCUCUGCCCUAUUUGGCUCCAGCUUGAAUUUGGACCAGAGCAGGUGGAUGGAGUGAAGCUGCCCCUGCAGCUGUGGGCAUCCUGCCUUGGUGCAUCAGGAUCAUUGUAGCAAAACGUGCACCUCAUGGGCUGCCCUGAUGUGUUGCUCUGCAGAACAUCUGCAGCUGCCAGCAGGGCUCAGGGUGCCUCCCAGGAUGUCAGGAUGCUGCUCCUGGAGGUACUGUGGAGGAAAAAGGGGCAGGUUUGGCUGAUUUUAGAAGGCAUCUAAUUGCACCAGAUGGUACGGGCAUGUUUAAUUCACCCUCCAGAGAGGCUGACCUGUGAGCCACCUAACGUGGCUUUAUUGCUUUUCCCUGCAUACCCAGCAAAUCUCUGAGUGCAAGAACUCUGCUUUGUUUGCAUGUACAAUGAGACACUGGGAAACACCUGCCCAUCGCUCAGCAGACGCUCAGCCCGCUUGCAAAUACAUUUUAAGCCAUAAUUAAAAUGACAUGCCAUCUUCUCCUCGUACUACACAAGCAGAAGUAUGGCGUAUGGCCUCCAGAAAUCCAGAAUAACUCAAAGCAGAACUGGUUUGUAUGCUUAAUCAGACUGUGUGCUGAAUGCAGAACAUAACAACAACAAAAAAAACCAAUUAAAAAAAACCCAAACAACCCCAAACCUUUAUUAAAUGCACAGCACUGAGUGGGGACUUCUGCUCAACGUUGAUUGAGACAUUGGAAAAUUCAGCCCUCGUGUUUCAUCAGCUGCACUGAAAUACUUCGGUGCAGAUGGACAGAGCCCAGAUGGCAACCUCGGCUGCGGAGCAUCUCUGCCCCAACCAUAUGCUGCUCAGAAGGGGAAGGGAUGCAGGGUUUGCUUCGUAGCUUUGGGACUCGCUGGUGCCACGUGGAGCUCAGAGCUGCUCAUUUCCACCCAACCCGCGCUAUGGUGACACGGUGGGGACGUGGCACUGCUGUCCUGCAGUGGGAAAAAGGCAUGGCAGGGAGCCAGGGAUGCACACACUGCGGCUUUGUGGGGCCACUGAUUGAGGCAGAUAGCGAUGUAAUCGGGCCAACACACACUGUCAGGGGGAGGGCUGUUUGGUACUGCGGGUUGAGCACUUUCUGCAAGAACAGGAGGGCUUUCUUUUUGAGAACACGAGAGCUGAGCAAACACCUCCAGCAGAAGUCUGUAUAAGUUUGAAUCUUGUCUCAUCCCUGAGAUGCUGCUGUUUGCAUGCAUGAAUUGGCCUUCUUUCUUCCUUCCACAGCCUCGUGAGACAUUCCGUGGAAGGUGGCAAGCAUUGGAUGAGUAACAUUUCCCCAUAGUGCAUUAAUCAACGCCUGCUUGGCCAAGCAGCAGUCAGUGUGAGAGGAGGACGAGUUGGGCUCCCAGGCACACGGGGAACUGCUGAGACUCAGAUUGCACACAGCAGCACCACAGCGACAAAGCUGCCUUGGUUCAGCACCCAGGGGCACUGCCACAAUCCCAGCUCAGAGAUGGGAUGGGAGGUAUGGUGUGCAACUCGUUGCUGGUUCCAUGAGAGCUUCUCCAUGGCGCUCACACAGGGACAUAAAAUGUGAGGGGUGGCCUCUGUCCUCCUGGCACCGUGGUUCCCUGAGUGCAGCUCCCUUCCUUGAGCAGGAUCAGAGCAGGGCUUCGGAGGAUCCUACGCAGAGAGCAUCCUCCAAGGACGUGUUUUCAAAGGUACCAUAGGAUGAGAGCUGGGAAAAGCAGAAGGGGCAGAAUCCACUCUUGGUUCUCCAGCAGUUUCCAGCAUGUGGGCACCUGCAUGAUUUGCCAUCGUCAGGGCUCUCCAUCUCCCAAAGGCUGAAUAAUCUCAAGAAAGGGCCCAGGAAGAAGUGAAAUCCUCUCCAGAACGGUCAUUUGCAAGAGUGUGUUUCCAUAACCUUGCAUUGUUACAGCAUCACAAGGAUUUGUCUCCUCUUCUGGCUCCAGCACACAUGUUCCUGGCUCCCAUGGAGGCACUGUGGACAGCCCAUGCCAUACAACGUGCCAGAAACAUGACCUCCCCAUGAACUUUGGGCCAUAUUUUCAAGUCUGCGCCCAGCUCCUUGCAGGCAGGGCUGUCUGGCCAGUGCAUUCUGGCCCUUUUGCAUGGAAAAUGAGCUGUGUCAGCCUUCGUGGCCCACUGGCUUGCCAGCUGCGUCCCUAACAGCACUUUGCAGCCUCCUCCCUCCGUGCUCAACAUGUUGCCUUCACCUGGCACAUGGGACAGCAACGAGGGGACUGUGAGCUUGUCCUCGGUGGCUGGGGCCCAGCUGGCCACCCCCAUCUCCCCACUGCAGCCACCGCACGCUCCUCGAUGCAGCAGAACUCAAUGUACAGCCCUUUUAUUUUUCCUCCUUGGUUUUCCUGUUUCCAGAACAGUUGAAUAUUUUACUUGCAUCGUGCCCCAGUUCCCCAGUUUCCAGCAGGCAGAACAGGGCGAUCUGUACCCACCUCUUGCAGCAGCUGGUGCUUGUUCCCCUGGCAAAACUUCACUUUGGAGCUGAACCCAACAAUGCUGCUGACUCCAACUGAUUCUUUCUCCCCCAGCCUAAGGCACUUUAUGAUGAUAUUAAUAACCAGACACUGAGGUUCAGCACUAAGGAUUUCUUAAGCUUGCUGCUGGGGCUGUGAUUGAGCUUUGUAGCCAUCUCUGCUUCAUCCCAUGAUCCAUCAGGGUUGGUGGGGACACCCAGACCUCUUUUGGGAAGUCCCUCCACAGCUCCUCUCUCCCAUAGCACCCAUGGGGUCAGGGGCAGACUGGGUGCUCCCAGACCUCUUUCCUGUUCUGCCCUUAAUACACCAAAGGGAGAUCUCUUGUUCGAUGGUUCUCUAUUAACCCUAUUCAUGAGUCUUUUAAUUAGUGUUGCCUUCUGCUAAGUAAUCGCUUCAGCAUUAGCUCCUCUGGGGCAAUGCAGAGCUGCAACAGGGCACUGCAGGAGUUGCAUGCUGCUGUUCUGCCUUCUGGACCUGCUCCUGCUGGCAACUAUGCCAUUCCUUUUGCACAGACCGCACAGUGCCAGAGCAGCCCACUAAAACUUGCAAAGAAAAGCAGAAAGAAGCAUCUGAAACCCCACCAGGAGCUGCGGCAGGUAGAGUUCUACCCUUACAUCUGGGAAACCUCCAGCUCAGCUCAAUCCUGCUGAUGCACUGCUAAGGGGAGCUUUGUAGUGGCCCUAUUCAAAGCACUCAGCUCUGGGGGCAUGUUUCCCCCAGCACCCAGGAGCAAUGUUUCCUUUGUCAAUUCAGGGUCCCCACCAAUCUGCAUCACCCCAUGCCUGGAGGCAGAGCUGCCAUGGCUGCCUUUUAUCCCCUGCAUCCUCCGGCAGAGCUCACAAAGUGGUACUUUGUACCAGAGCAAGAAACAAGAGACGUGAGCUGUAAUACAGGAGAGAGAGAAAAAAAAACCCUCAUCUCACCCCUUGUGUUUUUCCUGGAAAUGUCACUGCCCUUAAUGCAUCAAAUAAUUAGAAUCACUUCUCCCCUUUUGUUUGCCUUGGCCCUCACUGCUCGCAUUGAGUGGGCCAACAUAAACCUGUGCGCACCACAGGAAUUUUGGGCACAGCCCAUUCUGCAGUGCUGGGUGCAGGGGGAGAAGUGGCUGCAGGAGCUUUGGUUCUGCUCCAUAUGUCUCUGCUGCUGUGGGCACUGCUGGGCACGGAGCUCCCAUAGAGAGGACCUCACUGCAACGCUAGCGCUCAACCAAGUGCUGGUCCCUAUGGAAAUCCACUGUCCUGGAGAGAAGCAGCAGCAGCUGAUGCCCAUUUAAUGCCAAAAUUGCAGAUUUGUGUUUGACCUGAGUGGUGGGUGUGAGCGUGAUGCUGGCAGGACAGAUGGGUGGAUAGCUCUCUGAAGUCCCAGUGGGAUGUUACGCUUGUUGCUCUGUAGUUGUAGCCUUCUCCUCUGGGUGCUGGGGAGUGCUCCGAGGUGACGUGGGAGAACAUAUCCCUUGUGAAUGCUGGAAAGCUGUGCUGGGUGAGGUGGCAUUGCACCACUAAUCCACGCACAGAGGAGCCCAGCACCCCCUCAGCACCCCUUACAGACACAGAUGGACACAGCCAGCAUCACAGCCCAGCUGGCUGCCUGCCCCCAGUACCGCUCCCAUGGGCUGCAUGUAUGUCAAUGGGUUAUUAAAGAAACGGAUGGGGGAUUAGCUGUGCUGUAGGUAGAGACCCCAUUCAGAUUUGCUAAGUUUCAGCAAGUAUGUUUUCAAUAAUUGGCUGGUAUUUGUAAGAAAUGAAUAAAACCUAGGCUACUAAAGCUGGUCCUUCUCUUAUUAUAAGGCAUUUAUUGCAUGCUUAGAAGCAUAUGUCUUCAAUAUCUGAAGCAAAGGAAAGUAAUAUAUAAGGAUCCCUUCUUAAACACAAAUAUAUGCAGCCAUAAUCACAAUUAUUAGCCACCAUGAAAUAGCUAACAAACUGAAGAAGCCCCCUCAGCAGCAGCUUUACAACUGGGGGUGCAUAAGAAAUAAAGACAAAGGAGAGAAUUGCCCUCUUAGCUGUGCGAGACUCCACAAGGCAGAGGAAGGAUCAGCUCUGCUGAGGAGUGUUGGCAUCUCGGAGAAGGUUCACGGAUGAAGCCAAUGGAGAAGGGUGUGCAGGAGCGGGGCAGGGAAUUGGGAAGCAGCGCUGCUGCUGGUGGUUGUAUCCUUCUGAAGAAAGAACACUGGAAAACUAAAGCUACCUGUCACUGCUGCUGUUAUCACAGAGGUAUUUGGGAGAGGGUGAGCGAAUGUUUCUGCAGGACUGCGUGCUGAUUUAUUGGUACGGAGGGAGGUGCAGCGGGGAAACCACUGUGCGGAUCGUUGGCGAGGAGGGGCACGUGGUUCUCCAAAGAUUUUUGUCUGAAAACGCAAUCAGCUGAAGUCAGCGCCGCGCCGAGGGUCUGAGCAGAGCUCAGUGCUGCUCAAGGAGGCACUUUCAUGUAAGAGGGAAGAAAUGGGCCCUGGCUCUGUGUAUAUCCCUGUUGGUCUUCUGAACACUUCGCGUUGCGUCUUCCUCCUCACUGCACCGCCCUGAAGCACAUACAGAAAAUGAUUGCUGAAAACGGGGUGUCCGCGAGUCACAAUGAGUGCAAUUAAACCAUGGAACGGAUUCCCCAGGGAUCUCACGCAUCCUUGGCUGCUUGGAGGAGCCUCAGGGCGGGCUGCAGCAGCUCCUUCCCUUUGGUGGAGCAGCGCUGUUCCUCCUGGGAUUUGCUCCAAAUGGACAGCUCUGCUCUGCUCCAGCUGCUCGGUGGGUUUCUCUCCAGCACGUUGCUGGUUUGCACAUCGUUUCAAGCCUGCAGCUGUUAUCGGGCUGUUGGUUUGAGCGUUGUUCACUUCCAAUCCCUGCCUCAUUGCAGGGGGAGACCAUCCCUGGAGAUCCUCCCCUCUCCCAUCUCCAGGGCACCGAUCCUCAGCCACUCUGAGCGCAAUGCAGACACCACACAGCUCAGCAGGUUUCAGUGCCUCUGCCACCAACUGCGACUCAAAUCCAAAGCGAUUUGGCUUUGUUUUGUUUCUAAGUUGCUGCUCGAGCUUUCUUGGCUCACAGGCAGAUUUUCUCUUCCAAGGUUUCAGUGGUGGAGGGCUGUUUCUCUAAUCCCCAAUAGUUUGAGAUUAUCUCCAGCCAACAAUUAAUCAGAAUCAGAAUUUUGCACUGCUUGCCUGUGCUGCUGCAUUGAGUGCAUGUAAAACCCUCUUUCCUCUGAAGAAAAGCAUGUUCUACUUUCCUAUGUUGCCUCCGGUCUCUUUAGCUGUCAGGGCACUCGGCAUCACACCAGGAUGCUGAAUAGGCCAAGGGAUGCCUUAAACAUACCACUCAAACAGGCAGAAAGCGGAUUCAGGAAGGCUCAACACGAGCUGAAAGCUCACUGUUUAGGAAGCAUCUCUGCUGGGGUGAGGGUUGGCUCUUAUGGGUUUGUGUUGUGGACUCAGCACUUGGGCAGCUUUGUUUUGGUGCAUGGAAUGCUCAGAGGCGUUCUCUGAGCGUGUGUUUGGGUAAUAGCCAAAAAUGAACCCAGUUAGCUAAUGGAAAUGCAUCCUUCCUCCUGUGCUGGGACUGCGUUGCACUGAGUGCGUUGGAAACAGCACCAGAAGUGAUGUCUGACUGCUGCAGAUCCCAAACCCUCAGUCAGGCACUGCUCUGUGGAUGAGCAAGAUGGGCACAGCUGGAUCUGCUCCUCAAGGAUCCGCUGCAGGUGUGUGACUGGGGAAUUUUUCCCAACCACUCAACCUUCUGACAGGGCUUCCAUCAGCUGGAGCUGCCUCUCCCUUCCAGCAUCUCUUCAGGCUGAAAAGAAAUCAUAUUUCCUGAAGCAACACCAAACAGGGAAGUGGUGCUGCUUUGUCACGUCCAAUUUCAAGUAGCUCUUCUCCUUAAGCUGCUCACAAACAAGCGAGGAGGAUGUAACACACAGCUUCUUUCAGACACGAUUCUCUCCUGCUGAGCCCUGAUCUCUUGCUGUCUGCAGCUCUGUGCUCUAUAGAUGGCACACGAUGCCAGCUCUGCCUGGCAGCCACAAGCUGAUGGGAUUUGUAUUUGUCCCAUCACCCCAUGAGCUGUCACAGGGGUGGAUCCCACUCCCUCCUGGCACUUGCUGUCUGCUGAGGACUCCCGUGUUAUCACUGCUGUCAACUUCCAAGCUGCGUUUUAUAUGGGAAGGAAAGCUGCCAGGCUGCUCUGCGAGCCAGUAGGUAUUCUUGGAGACAAAACAUUCAGUCUGGACCCGGCGCUGGUGGUUAAGCUUUAUUUGGUUCUCAUUUCCUUGAGAACUGGAUGCUCCUCUCCAUCUGUCAGCUCACAAAGCUGGGUCAGGCCGGCUGCAUCCUCUGCUCCAAAGCAAGGACCCCAAAAGGGAUCAGCUCCCCUUGACAUCAACGGGUUCUGGAUUGGGCCCCGGGCAAAGGCUCUCAAGAACGUGCUGCAGUUUGGGAAGCGGAGAAGCUGCGGUUUAACAUGGGAAUAGUUGGAGCAAGAAAAAUGUUAUUACCAAAACUCAGCUUAAACCAAGAGUACCGCGAGGUCAAACGCUGCAGCCAGUCAGAAACACAGUGUUCUUGAGGAUUGUUAUACUGGAGUUACAGGAGACAAGGUGCUUUCGUGGUAAAUGGAAAACGCAGCUCGGCAGAGAGGAGGAAGCUGCAGCAAAUGCACUGCUGAUGUUAAGCUGCUGCCUCCCUGGGGCCAAGCAGCAGUGCAUGACUGGGAACGUCCCAUCCCUGGGUCAGCAGCUGGACACCUCCAAGGCAGGGACCCCCCAGCCCCUCUUAAAGCUCUCUUGAAUGAUCCCAUGCUGCAGAGAGUACUACUCUGUACAAACAUGUAUACAAAUGUAAGUACAUCCAUAUACUUGGCUGAGAUGUAUAAACUCUGCAAUGGACUUUGGAUGUAAGUGUGGUCUUUGCUGCUGGCUCACCGGAGAGGGUUCUCAGUUAAUCACGGCUCAGUGGUUGGGCUGGGUGAUCUUAUCCAAUCUUAAUGAAUCUAUGAUCCUAUGGAAAUAAAUUGUACCCAGCUUGUCCCUGCUGCUGUCCCCUCCAAAGGUGCCAGGUUGCUCCGUCACAGGCAACACCGGGAUGAGUCCCUGGGAUCGUACCAGCACUCGUAUUCGGUGUCAAGGAAGACAAUAUGGAAACUGUGCCAAAAGAGGCCUGAUCUAUCACAAAUGCCAUCUCAUCAUUUUCAGCUGCUUUGAACUUCCCAGUGACUUUUAUUUGUGCCUCCCUUUUCUUUCUGUGCCAGAACAGACUCACAUCUUGAAAAGCUCUUCUCCCCACGUAGCUGUUAUCCUGCAGCCCUUCCCAAAUCCCCCCAGCUGUGCCUCCUCUGCUCUGCCUUGCUGGGAUAAGCAAGGGAGGUUCUUUGUCUGCAGGUGAGUUGUCUGCUGGUCUUUUUUAGGGGAAAUUGGAGGGCUCCUUGCAGACACAGAGGGCCACAAAUGGGUGGACAGGGAGCUGCUAAACAAAGAGCUGGUGUGAAUUAGAAGAGAGAUAAAGAGCAAUGGACUUGAUAAGGAGUUGGACUUGAUGAUCCUUGUGUGUUCUUCCAACUUGGGAUAUUGUAUGAUUUUAUGAAAAGAACCAUUGGCCCACAUUGCAGCCAAACAGCCCAGGCAUGGAGCAGAAAACAGCUUGACAAAGGUCAUGCAAGGAGCAUCAGAACAAGUUUCAGAUGUAGUCCUUUAACCAGAUGGCUGCUGUCUUGUGAGCAGUGCUGCAGCACGAGCCGUCAUUGCUCCUGGGCCACGUUCUGUUCCCAAAGAAAGUGUAGGGUGGGUGGACAACCCUGUGGGUGACCUGGAGCUCUCCAGGUGGGAGGGCUGAGCUCCAGCAGCAUGGAUCCAAUAUGGAGCUCCUUUGGACGUGGGGACAGUGAGGAAGGCAGAGCAGACCAGAGGUGCCAGGGUGGCUCUGAAACCUUCUCCGAGGACAUGCUCCACCUUCACAUCUCACCUACGUCAGAAUGACCUCAUGUUCAUAACAGCAGGAAUUUCCAGCUGGCGCAGCCAAGCCCUUUGCUGCUAAAUUAAAAUUUCUACCUCUCUCCAGAGAGUUAUUUCCCCUCCAUUCUUUUUAUUAAUAAAUUAAUAAUAAAGCAGUUUGCUGGAG
Molecule: long non-coding RNA, 28726 nt
Filed under: Gallus gallus (chicken)
Lineage: Eukaryota; Metazoa; Chordata; Aves; Galliformes; Phasianidae
Description: lncRNA (ENSGALG00010029111.1)
Source: RNAcentral